GUGGCGACGGGUGAGUAACACGUUGAACCUGCCCAAAGUAAGGGAUAAGCCACCGAAAGGUGGUCUAAUACCUUAUAGUAUCCAUCUCGUAUGGAUUAAAGCUUUAUGCGCUUUGGGAGGGGCCUGCGUUUGAUUAGCUAGUUGGUGAGGUAAAAGCUCACCAAGGCGACGAUCAAUAGCUGGUUUGAGAGGAUGACCAGCCACACUGGGACUGAGAUACGGCCCAGACUCCUACGGGAGGCAGCAGUAAGGAAUCUUCCACAAUGGGGCAACCCUGAUGGAGCAAUACCGCGUGCAGGAUGAAGCGUUUCGGCGUGUAAACUGCUUUUAUCACCGAAGAUUAUGACUGUAGGUGAAGAAUAAGGACCGGCUAACUACGUG
RNAcentral lists this ribosomal RNA (381 nucleotides) under uncultured bacterium. Its description in RNAcentral is "bacterial SSU rRNA". It matches the Rfam family "Bacterial small subunit ribosomal RNA", at positions 95 to 507 of the family's 1533-position model. The record is from RNAcentral.